Molecule: unclassified non-coding RNA, 252 nt
Filed under: fungal sp.
Lineage: Eukaryota; Fungi
Description: partial internal transcribed spacer region
Rfam family: Eukaryotic small subunit ribosomal RNA (bases 1-46)
Source: RNAcentral
AAGUCGUAACAAGGUUUCCGUAGGUGAACCUGCGGAAGGAUCAUUAUCGAGUUUUGAAAGGGGUUGUAGCUGGCCUUCCGAGGCAUGUGCACGCCCUGCUCAUCCACUCUAACACCUGUGCACCUUUUGUGGGCUCAUGGAGGGCAACCUCCUGGCCUGCGUCUCACACACACGCUUAAAGUAUAAGAAUGUAUAACCGCAUUGUAUGAUGCAUUAUUAAUACAACUUUCAACAACGGAUCUCUUGGCUCUC